RNAcentral lists this unclassified non-coding RNA (500 nucleotides) under Hevea brasiliensis (rubber tree). Lineage: Eukaryota; Viridiplantae; Streptophyta; Magnoliopsida; Malpighiales; Euphorbiaceae. The record is from RNAcentral.
CUCCUAUUAAAAAAACAUAAACCCACAUGGCCAUAACCCAAUGAUGGCACUUUUAACAACCUAGUAAGAUGGCUUAGGUCAAAAUCUAGAGAUAUAUCAAUAGUAAUUUGGAGAAAGGGGCUAUAAAGAUUCCAAUUAGUUAGAAAUUAAGUAGUUUCAAUUACUACCAUUUUUUCAUUUAAACCAUCUAAUGUACCAAAAGAAAAAAUCAAUUCAACCACCGUUAUACAAACUGAUUAAUUAAAGACAUCACAUUCGACAAUUGGGUUCUAAGACAAUUCAACGCAUGAAUAUCCUCAGAAAAUCAACCACUACAUUAAACAUGUACUAUUAAACUUAAAGGAACAAAUAUUUUUGAAGAAAAUGCAAUUCUUUAGGUCUUGGAGUCCAAGGCCAAAAUGGUGCUAAGGUUCAUGGGGUUCAUGUAUUGGGUGGAGCCAUUCAGGAUUUGUUGAGCAAGGUAUCCGUUUACCCUCUCUGAUGGAUGGAAUGGAUCCCAA